UGGCAAACGGGUGAGUAACACGUGGGUGACCUGCCUUCGAGCGGGGGAUAACGUUCCGAAAGGAGCGCUAAUACCGCAUAACAUCCCGCCUUUGAAGAGGCGGCGAUCAAAGCUGGGGACCGCAAGGCCCGGCGCUUGGAGAGGGGCCCGCGCCCGAUUAGCUUGUUGGUGAGGUAACGGCUCACCAAGGCUUCGAUCGGUAGCCGGCCUGAGAGGGCGGACGGCCACACUGGGACUGAGACACGGCCCAGACUCCUACGGGAGGCAGCAGUGGGGAAUUGUUCGCAAUGGGCGCAAGCCUGACGACGCAACGCCGCGUGGAGGAUGAAGAUCUUCGGGUCGUAAACUCCUGUCGAGCGGGAAGAAUACCCCUCGGGUGAACAGCCCGGGAGGUUGACGGUACCGCGAGAGGAAGCCCCGGCUAACUCCGUGCCAGCAGCCGCGGUAAUACGGGGGGGGCAAGCGUUGUUCGGAAUUAUUGGGCGUAAAGGGCUCGUAGGCGGCCAACUAAGUCGGACGUGAAAUCCCCCGGCUCAACUGGGGAACUGCGUCCGGUACUGGAUGGCUUGAGUUCGGGAGAGGGACGUGGAAUUCCAGGUGUAGCGGUGAAAUGCGUAGAUAUCUGGAGGAACACCGGUGGCGAAGGCGGCGUCCUGGACCGACACUGACGCUGAGGAGCGAAAGCCAGGGGAGCAAACGGGAUUAGAUACCCCGGUAGUCCUGGCCCUAAACGAUGAAUGCUUGGUGUGGCGGGUAUCGAUCCCCGCUGUGCCGGAGCUAACGCAUUAAGCAUUCCGCCUGGGGAGUACGGUCGCAAGGCUGAAACUCAAGGAAUUGACGGGGGCCCGCACAAGCGGUGGAGCAUGUGUUUCAAUUCG
RNAcentral lists this ribosomal RNA (878 nucleotides) under uncultured bacterium. RNAcentral's name for it is "bacterial SSU rRNA". It matches the Rfam family "Bacterial small subunit ribosomal RNA", at positions 96 to 953 of the family's 1533-position model. The record is from RNAcentral.